UGUAAGCGUAUACCAAAGUUGUUGCAGUUAAAACGCUCGUAGUCGGAAUUUGGCAGUUCCGGAUGUGUGCACGUCGUGUGCGCACUUCGCGGGGAUUGCUUUUGUGGUCUUGCGUAGGAUGAGGCACUUUUAUUAGUGAACGUCCUCACGCAACCACUUUUUACUGUGAGAAAAUCAGAGUGCUCAAAGCAGGCAUUUGCCGUGAAUGUAUUAGCAUGGAAUAAUAGAAUAGGACUUGGUUCUAUUUUGUUGGUUUGUUGGGACUGAGUAAUGAUUAAGAGUGACAGUUGGGGGCAUUUGUAUUUCGGUGCUAGAGGUGAAAUUCUUAGAUUACCGAAAGACAAACUGCUGCGAAAGCGUCUGCCAAGGAUGUUUUCAUUGA
This 382-nucleotide ribosomal RNA is filed under the name uncultured eukaryote. RNAcentral's name for it is "partial 18S ribosomal RNA". It matches the Rfam family "Eukaryotic small subunit ribosomal RNA", at positions 592 to 976 of the family's 1831-position model. The record is from RNAcentral.